RNAcentral lists this ribosomal RNA (305 nucleotides) under uncultured bacterium. Its description in RNAcentral is "bacterial SSU rRNA". It matches the Rfam family "Bacterial small subunit ribosomal RNA", at positions 338 to 641 of the family's 1533-position model. The record is from RNAcentral.
CCUACGGGAGGCAGCAGUGAGGAAUAUUGGUCAAUGGUCGGGAGACUGAACCAGCCAAGCCGCGUGAGGGAGGAAGGUACAGAGUAUCGUAAACCUCUUUUGUCAGGGAACAAAGACUGGGACGCGUCCCCGGAUGAGUGUACCUGAAGAAAAAGCAUCAGCUAACUCCGUGCCAGCAGCCGCGGUAAUACGGAGGAUGCGAGCGUUAUCCGGAUUUAUUGGGUUUAAAGGGUGCGCAGGCGGAUUUUUAAGUCAGCGGUAAAAUGUCCGGGCUCAACCCGGGCCGGCCGUUGAAACUGGGGAUU